AUGAAAUCUUUGCUGUAUGUAUCUUCUCUGUUUUCUUAUUCAGAGAUAAAAGAGAAUGAAAUGAAGCAAGCAGAGAUAAAUUUCUUUGGCCCACUUAUAGCUGUGGUUGUAGUGAUCACUUCUGCACUUCUUCUGGGUUUUGUGAUAUUAAAGAAGAACAGAAAUAUCUUGUCUACCAACCAGAGCGUCAGUCUAGCAGUCUAGAAGCUAUCCAGCUUGAAACUGUGGCCAUCAGCCAGACUGCUGACUGGGAACCACCUCUGCACACAGCAAAGCAUGAGCUCCCGUGUUUUUAGAGGUUCUGCCAGGACAAGAAUCCUCCCCAGAAGCCCUACAGAACAACAUACAACACUUCUGUGUGAUGGCUGAAACCGACUUCCUGGUGUUCUGUGCUUUUAUUUUUGCUCCAGAAUAGUAGUAAAUAUGAUGCUCUGCCUGUCUGCAUGACGACCUUUUUGUUGUAUAUUUUAUUAUGCACUGUAACCAUGUAAAAUCCUGAGAGUCAAUGGAGAAAGCAGAGCUGCAUGGGUCACAGAAUGUCUCAGAAAUAGAAAGAAUUAAGGUGCAAUCUGUGAAUCAUAACCAUCACUGCAAAUACGAUCAGAGGUAGGCUAUUACCCAUAGACUCAUAGAACCAUGGAAUCAUAAAAUGACUUGGGCUGGAAGGGACCUUGAACAUCAUGUAAUGUCAAACCUCCUGCCUAACUAUGAGCCAUAAAGGCUUCUGGCAGAGCCACUGUGGCUUUGUACCCAUGACUUUCUUGUAAAGCUUCACUUCAGAAAGUGGAACUUCAGGGCACUUCCCCACCUUCUGAGAAAAGUCAUGGAAUUCCUAUCAAGCAUUUGAAACUAGAAAUAAUCAAAAGGAAAUACUUGCUUUAAACAUAAUUUGUGAUUACCUUCAUUUUUUUUAAUAUCAUCCAAGCUUAAUGUACUCAGACAGUUAGUACCUCCACACUUUGUUCCUCUGUAUUCUGACUGAGAGCUGUAACAGUUGUUCAGGUGGAUGCAGAAAUAGAAAAUGAUAGCAUGAGGUAUCAUAUGUGUGUAUAUUUAGCCAUACAAAAUUAGGCUGAGCAGAUAUUGAAAAGAUAUUACAUAUGUCAUGUUCCUUUUUGGUUGACUAUAUUCCCCUUUCUUAAUUUUACUUCAGACCUUGAUGACAGAGCAAUUCACACACUGUGGUAGGUUCAGCCAUAGGAAGGAGUUUUAUCUUUUAGAAAAGAUCCUUUGUUUCGCUCAAAAUGUAUCAGUUCUCCAAUCUUGAAUGAUCUCUGUGCUUUAUAUUCUUCAACAGCACUGACAUCUUUCAGGAAGAAGAAUGCAGCAGAACUGAGACAGAAUUCUUCUAAGAUCUUGAUUGUGUUUAUAGGUCUGACACUUUCAGAAAGAGCAGGGACAUUAGCAUCAUAUUCUCAAGAUGAAUUUCAGCUCAGAGUUGCAGUCUGGGAACAUAAAUUCUCUACAGUUGUUGGGUAGAAAUGUUCUUUUCUGUUAAAUUAUGUGAGUUGCUAGAUUCCACCUCAAUUUGUGCUCCAUUUUCAAGUGUGUGAGAGAAAUGCAUGUCCUUUUGAGUUAGCUAAACUAUUUGGGUGUCAGUUUAUUAAGCUAUUACACUAACAUUCCAAAUAUUUUCAUUCAGAUUAAUAUCAUUCAAAUGUUAUUAGAAGGUAAAUGUUUUAAUUUUUGUAAAAGUUUAUACUUUCUAGCAAACUU
Long non-coding RNA from Ficedula albicollis (Collared flycatcher), 1716 nucleotides. The record is from Ensembl. Lineage: Eukaryota; Metazoa; Chordata; Aves; Passeriformes; Muscicapidae.